AAUGGGGGAUAACGUAGCGAAAGUUACGCUAAUACCGCAUAUGCCCUGAGGGGGAAAGUGGGGGAUCGCAAGACCUCACGUUUUCGGAGCGGCCGAUAUCAGAUUAGCUAGUUGGUGGGGUAAAGGCCUACCAAGGCGACGAUCUGUAGCUGGUCUGAGAGGACGACCAGCCACACUGGGACUGAGACACGGCCCAGACUCCUACGGGAGGCAGCAGUGGGGAAUUUUGGACAAUGGGGGCAACCCUGAUCCAGCCAUGCCGCGUGAGUGAAGAAGGCCUUCGGGUUGUAAAGCUCUUUCGGACGGAAAGAAAUCGCACGGGCUAAUAUCCCGUGUGGAUGACGGUACCGUAAGAAGAAGCACCGGCUAACUACGUGCCAGCAGCCGCGGUAAUACGUAGGGUGCGAGCGUUAAUCGGAAUUACUGGGCGUAAAGCGUGCGCAGGCGGUUUAUUAAGACAGAUGUGAAAUCCCCGGGCUUAACCUGGGAACUGCAUUUGUGACUGGUAGGCUAGAGUGUAGCAGAGGGGGGUAGAAUUCCA
This 541-nucleotide ribosomal RNA is filed under the name uncultured Gallionellaceae bacterium. RNAcentral's name for it is "bacterial SSU rRNA". It matches the Rfam family "Bacterial small subunit ribosomal RNA", at positions 135 to 671 of the family's 1533-position model. The record is from RNAcentral. Lineage: Bacteria; Pseudomonadati; Pseudomonadota; Betaproteobacteria; Nitrosomonadales; Gallionellaceae.